UUACAGGGCGUGAACCGUUAAUUGGCAAACGAAUCGGAGCCACGAAGUCGUUUCGCUGUCUGGGUCAGGUUCAGUUCGGAACGAAAGUUCCGGGCGUAUUCCUGUGCUCGGCCAAUGUAAGCGUACACUGCAACCAGUUAGACAAUUGGCGAUGGGCCAAGUUGGGUUUAUACCUCGGUGUAAGCUUAACGAAGUGCUUGUUUGUCUCAGCUAGUAGUUGUAUUGUGUAUCCUCGGAUGCAUAGUGCGGCUGAGUUGAGAUAAGUGAACUAUCACCAAAUACUGACUGGCACAAUGAAAAUCGCGAAUGAGCGUUAUAUAAAAUGCAGCUACUUGUAUCUAGUGUCUACACACACGACCAUAGGGUUUAAGUUCGGCAUCUUUGAAUUUGGACUUGCUUGCUACCAAUGGGGCAACUCUUGGUGCUUGUAUUGUAUCAUCUAAUCGGGUGUUGACUUGAUUUUAUGUUGUUCGGUUGUGCUACGAUCGGAUGUUAGAUUGCAAAGUAGUUUGCCAUUUGAUUGGCAGUGAGUAGGUCGGCUUUCCGAACGACCCGUCUUGAAACACGGACCAAGGAGUCUAAUUAGGCAUCGAGUCGAUCGGUCUUGAAUAGGCCAGACUGGUGGGCUUCGGCCCAUCGAUUGAAGGCGUAGAGAAAUCAAAUCGUGUGAUCGUUGGAACAAAACCAGUUCUAACGCGCAACAUGUGCCUGCUCGUAUGGCAAUGUUAGUAAUAACUUGCUGGGCGGAGCAAAGAGAUGCUUGAUUGGUACCCGAAAGAUGUGGAAACUAU
Molecule: ribosomal RNA, 791 nt
Filed under: Eriophyes pyri (pearleaf blister mite)
Lineage: Eukaryota; Metazoa; Arthropoda; Arachnida; Trombidiformes; Eriophyidae
Description: partial large subunit ribosomal RNA
Rfam family: Eukaryotic large subunit ribosomal RNA
Source: RNAcentral